AGUGAACGCUGGCGGUAGGCCUAACACAUGCAAGUCGAACGGCAGCACAGUAAGAGCUUGCUCUUACGGGUGGCGAGUGGCGGACGGGUGAGGAAUACAUCGGAAUCUACUUUUUCGUGGGGGAUAACGUAGGGAAACUUACGCUAAUACCGCAUACGACCUACGGGUGAAAGCAGGGGAUCUUCGGACCUUGCGCGAUUGAAUGAGCCGAUGUCGGAUUAGCUAGUUGGCGGGGUAAAGGCCCACCAAGGCGACGAUCCGUAGCUGGUCUGAGAGGAUGAUCAGCCACAUGGGAGCUGAGACACGGUCCAGACUCCUACGGGAGGCAGCAGUGGGGAAUAUUGGGCAAUGGGGGCAAGCCUGAUCCAGCCAUACCGCGUGGGUGAAGAAGGCCUUCGGGUUGUAAAGCCCUUUUGUUGGGAAAGAAAAGCAGCAGGUUAAUACCCCGCUGUUCUGACGGUACCCAAAGAAUAAGCACCGGCUAACUUCGUG
This 492-nucleotide ribosomal RNA is filed under the name uncultured bacterium. Its description in RNAcentral is "partial 16S ribosomal RNA". It matches the Rfam family "Bacterial small subunit ribosomal RNA", at positions 29 to 507 of the family's 1533-position model. The record is from RNAcentral.